CCCUUAGAUGUUCGGGGCCGCACGCGCGCUACACUGAAUGAAUCAGCGAGUGUAUGUCCUAGGCCGAAAGGUCCGGGUAACCCGUUGAACCUCAUUCGUGAUUGGGAUAGGGACUUGCAAUUGUUUCCCUUGAACGAGGAAUUCCCAGUAAGCGCAAGUCAUCAGCUUGCGUUGAUUACGUCCCUGCCCUUUGUACACACCGCCCGUCGCACCUACCGAUUGGAUGGUCCGGUGAAGCCUCGGGAUUGUGGUUCUUGCCGCUUUAUUGUGGCGUGACCGCGAGAACUUGUCUAAACCUUAUCAUCGAGAGGAAGGUGAAGUCGUAACA
RNAcentral lists this ribosomal RNA (328 nucleotides) under uncultured eukaryote. RNAcentral describes it as "partial 18S ribosomal RNA". It matches the Rfam family "Eukaryotic small subunit ribosomal RNA", at positions 1470 to 1796 of the family's 1831-position model. The record is from RNAcentral.